This is a long non-coding RNA of Oncorhynchus tshawytscha (Chinook salmon), 4112 nucleotides long. NCBI's taxonomy places the organism in Eukaryota, Metazoa, Chordata, Actinopteri, Salmoniformes, Salmonidae. The record is from Ensembl.
CUGGGCUAGACAAUCUGGACCCCUACAAAUCAGCUGGGCUAGACAAUCUGGACCCCUACAAAUCAGCUGGGCUAGACAAUCUGGACCCCUACAAAUCAGCUGGGCUAGACAAUCUGGACCCCUACAAAUCAGCUGGCCUAGACAAUCUGGACCUCUACAAAUCAGCUGGGCUAGACAAUCUGGACUCUCUCUUUCUAAAAUUAUCUGCCGCAUUUGUUGCAACCCUUAUUACUAGCCUGUUCAACCUCUCUUUCGUAUUGUCUGAGAUCCCUAAAGAUUGGAAAGCUGCCUCGGACAUCACUCUAGACCCAAACUGUUACAGACCCAUAUCUAUCCUGCUCUGCCUUUCUAAAGUCUUUGAAAGCCAAGUGAACAAACAGAUCACCGACCAUUUCGAAUCCCACCGUACCUUCUCCUCUAUGUAGUCUGGUUUCUGAGCUGGUCAUGGAUGCCCCUCAGCCACGCUCAAGGUCCUAAACGAUAUCAUAACUGCCAUCGAUAAAAGACUCCUUGCUCGCACACGCUUUUUCAGUUCUGCCCACACAUUAUCUAUAGGAUUGAGGUCAGGGCUUUGUGAUGGCCACUCCAAUACCUUGACUUUAUUGUCCUUAAGCCAUUUUGCCACAACUUUGGAAGUAUGCUUGGGGUCAUUGUCCAUUUGGAAGACCCACUUGCGACCAAGCUUUAACUUUAACUGAUGUCUUGAGAUGUUGCUUCAAUAUAUCUACAUAUUUUCCUAACUCAUGAUGCCAUCUAUUUUCUGAAGUGCACCAGUCCCUCCUGCAGCAAAGCACCCCCACAACAUGAUGCUGCCACCCUCGUGCUUCACGGUUGGGAUGGUGUUCUUUCGCUUGCAAGCCUAGAAGGCCCGCAACCCGGAGUCACCUCUUCACUGUUGACAUUGAGACGGGUGUUUUGUGGGUACUAUUUAAUGAAGCUGCCAGUUGAGGACUUGUGAGGCGUCUGUUUCUCAAUCUAGACACUCUAAUGUACUUCUCCUCUUGCUCAAGAAUAGUAUAAGAUUUUCAGAAACAAAGUCCUGAUGCUGAGUAUCUGAUGCUCCAGAUUGUCACGCCCUGGCCUUAGUAUUUUGUGUUUUCUUUAUUAUUUUGGUCAGGCCAGGGUGUGACAUGGGUGAUUUAUGUGGUUUGUUUUGUCUAGGGGUUUUGUAGUUUAUGAAAACCGUAACACAGAUACUCAGCUAGUCUAAAGAAGGCCAGUUUUAUUGCUUCUUUAAUCAGGACAACAGUUUUAAGCUGCGCUAACAUAACUGCAAAAGUAUUUUCUUAUGAUCAAUUAGCCUUUUAAAAUUAUAAACUAGGAUUAACUAACACAACGUGCCAUUGAAACACAGGAGUGAUGGUUGCUGAUAAUGGGCCUCUGUGCGCCUAUGUAGAUGUCCCAUUAAAAAUCAGCCUUUUACAAUACUCAUUUACAAGGACAAUUCUAUGUGACCCCAAACUUUGAACAGGAGUGUAUGUUUUGAGCAGAAUAGUUUUUUCUUUGACACAACUGCAAACUUCAAGGUGUAGGGCAUUCAGGGAGUUGGUCUGAUGGUGACUUUGGGUUGUCAUCGGCCUCCCUCCUUACUUGUGCCACAUCAUGAGGAUACCUAUUAAGAUGUGCCUCUUGACAAGUAUAUCAGGUGUUAAAUGAGGUGAAAAGAAAAUUGGGGUAGGACUUUAAGCUAGACUGGAUACUCCCAGUUAGUCUGUCAGAGAGGUGUUGGUUGAAAGAGGCAUUAAUAUUGAAAGCCUUGGGUCUUUAGUGAGUCACUGUGACUAAAGGAGUCUGCAUACUAGGUUCGGUUUGCUCCUAGCAGAACUCGGCUAGGCGAAGUAAACGUCUGUGCCUCGCAGACUCCCUUAAAAGACAUUUGCUUAAAAAACUAGACAAAAAUGGCAAUAGUAGUUUGACCCUUUUGAGACGCCUUAGCCACUUCUUCAAAAUAGUCUGAAUUAAUCUAAGAUAAAUUAAGAAAUCGGUCAUUCAUUUUCACAUUUUUGCCGAGGAGGUCUUAGUCGCGCAAUUUUACAUCUAAGAUGAUUGGUGCAGUAUUUCCCAAUGAAAAAAUGUGUUGAAUGACAGCACUUAAUUGAAGAAUCCCUACUGUUGACCAAUCAAAGGGGCGUAGACUUUGGCUACAUAAUUUCGGCUUGCCUCGACAAAAUGUUUUACAUGCCGAAAAAACCCUUGCUGAAGACCAAACGAACAAACAUCACAACCUAUCGUCAUAAUAUACGCACAAACUGUGAAAGUGAUUCCCAUGUGGACGCCUUUAGGCAUAGAGGAGUCAGGCAAGUUCAGACUGCCUGUUCCUCCUCACAAUGAAAAAUAAAAAGGUGACAUUCACAGGCCUGACCUGCAUGGAUGGCUGGGACAAUGAAGGUCAAGGAAGAGACAUACUCAUGUCCUGCCAUUUAACAGCACCUUUGAAACGGUGGUAUUUUCCUUCAUUUCUUUCCAGGGGGCAUCUCUCAAAGGGGAGACACUCUGGCAGUGGCCAUCUGUGUGUGUGUGUGUGUGUGUGUGUGUGUGUGUGUGUGUGUGUGUGUGUGUGUGUGUGUGUAUGUGUAUGUGUAUGUGUAUGUGUAUGUGUAUGUGUAUGUGUGUGUGUGUGUGUGUGUGUGUGUGUGUGUGUGUGUGUGUGUGUGUGUGUGUGGCUUUAACGAUCUGUGUUACCACCAUCUGACUCCACUUGUGAAACCUCUUCAUGUUCCACCCACUGAGUUUCCACUCCUCCAAAAUGUCCUUGAAGACCUCCACAACCAGAGAUACAUCCUAAAAGUGAAUAAAUGUGCUAGAUCCAUUUUUGUUAUGUUAUUGUUUAUCGUUCAUUCUGAUGAUCAUGGAAUUGUUAUUUUGGGGAUUUUCAAAUUGAAGUUUUGUUGUGGAAAUAAAAAAAAGGCAGCAUAGGAGGUCAUUGUGUAGAAUUCUGUAGAUUUGGCUUUGAUCAGAUAGAGCUGAUGCAACCAAAAUGUCACCACUCAUUCAGCGCGUCCACUGGAGAGGAGCUCUUUUCAUCUAACCUUUUAUCAACAAUACCACACUUUACGCCGUGACGGCAGUGGAAUUCCACAUUCAAUGAGCGCCGUUCUGCCCAUACCAAGCCCUUUUUUCAGCAUUCCCAAUGUGCUUUGAAGAACUGUUGCCCAGUUGGCAAAGAGAGAGUGGAUAUAAGCGCCUUGUUGACAAGAGGUGAGAAAAACAAAGUUAAUCAAACACUUCAGGGUGUGUAUGAUGUCAUGAGUCAUAAAAAAAAGGUUUGUUUUGCUGCUAGUUACAACACAGCGAGGCCGUUCAGACGAGGCUGUCCUGUGAUAUAUAAGGCUAGUUCAACUUUGGUCAUUGACACACCUCAUCUCACAACCCACAGUCUCUGUAUUUCUCCACUAGCCUCCUUCCCAAAGCUUUGUCACCUCUUCACAGGUGUCACCUCCCACUGGGUACAAACGGGUUGAAUCAAUGUAGUUUCAACGUAAUUUGUCAACGUAUUGUGACAUGGAAUCUAUGUGGUAAAUAUGUUGGAUUUGGAAAAAAGUGAUCAACUUAAACUGUUGUUUUGAGGGUUAUAUCCACAGGAUUAUGUCAUCAUGGUAGCAUCAUUGUCGACAAGUUAACAAAUGAUAUGUUGGAUUCACGUCUCCAUCUCAACUAAAAAUAAAAGUCAAAGAAUACGAUUAAGUCAGUGGCCCUGAUGGAACUAUCCAAGCAACAGAUACAGCUCCUUUAAAUGUUCAUAUUUGUUUGCGUUGUCAACCAAACACAAUUCAAUACUACUUUUGUAAGAGAGUCAAUAGCCUAAAGUUAAGGCUAUCUUACAAAAUAAUGUAACAGUAUUUAUCGAACCAUUCAAACGAGUAACACAUUCAUGGCCACAUCUUGAGGUUACGAUAACAAUAAAUGUCUUCUUAUGUAACCAUAGAAAGUGUGCAUAUUCGGGGUCGCAGGUCAAUUGCUAUGAUAAUCUGCAAUACGUCUUGAUCAUUUGGACCAUGUACUUUUAAUGUAAUCUCAACUGCUAUCCAGGUCAUUUGUUUGUGCUAUUAGAUGAGGUACAGUGAUAACACAUUAAGUUGUAUAAAUAAACAAAAUAUCAGACAUAGUAUUCU